AGCUGGAUGAUGGCCCAACACUCGAAGAGCAUCGAAGGAAGGAUCACAAGGGAGUCUGGUGCUGCAGUCGAGGAGCCUGGGUGAGUGUGGGUGGGUGGGGAGGAGCGAGAAGGGGCAGAGGGAAGGAAGAGGGGUGCCAGACUUUCUCCUUGGAACCAUCCACCAUGCUGCUCCCACCCAGAACAUCACAAGAUCAAGCCUCUGGACUCCAUGCAUCUAGCUUCACAUUCUUUCUCUCCUCAAGUGGGGACCAUGGCUGAAUAUGUCAUUUCCCUUGCAGGACGUAAAAUGGGCUUGGAUUAGAGAAUUAGGCCCAACUUAACUCUGCCCCCAGACUUGUGUCUGCUCCUUCAAGACCUGGACAACUUCCAGACCACGAGAACAGAGUGUCUAACAGGAAUCCGGUAAUGCUGUUGUGGUCAUAGCUUAAUUGCUCUGAAGAGGUAACAGGAUCCAGGCAAUAUCAAAAGCAUGUGAGUGCCCUCUGAGCUCAGCACUGGUCCCCAGCUCUCCCUUUUGCUGUAUCCGUGCCCAGGAGCUUCACCAGCUGGAGACAGCAUUGGCAAGGAGAGCUUCCAAUAGGAUAUGAGCGCUGAUGCUUCUCAUCAAAACCCUGCGCCUGAGCCUGACGAUCGGAACCAUCAGAACGCAAGGAGGCAAAGGUCUGAUGGAUCAAAGGGGACCCACCGGUUUGAUGCUAACCUACUGGAGGAAGGGAGGUCGUCUCGUCCGCUCAGAGGGAGCCAUUAUGAUUCUCAUAUUAAAGUCAUGGAAACUGAGUCCCGGAGAGUUAAGGAACCUGCCCACGUCUACAGAGAUGAGGUUGAAACAGAACCCAAAGCAAGGGGGAAGUCACACGGAGGAGUGCAGCUGGGAGACCAUCGGCUAACACCUUGGUGAGCCUUUUUCUGUGUGCCCUCAGUGUUCUGAAAUCGUCCAUGCAUUUAACUCAGUCCACCCUCCCUUUCUAAAAGCUUUGUACUUUGUGAUAAAUCACUUCCAUGAAUACCAGUGGGAAGGAACAAAGGGGCCCUCAAACACACACCUACAGAAAUGUAGGUCCUUUUUUUUUUGGCCUCGCCUGUGCUAUGUGGAAGUUCCCAGGCCAGGGACCGAACCUGUGCCACAUCAGCGAUCCAAGCAGCUGCAAUGACAAUACCAGAUUCUUAACCCACAGUGCCACAAGAGAACUCUGGUGCAGUCUCCUUUGAAGGCAAUUUGGCAACAUCUAUUGAAAUUUAAAAUUCACAUUGUGUUUACACCCAGAAAUUCCACUUCUAAGUAUUAAACUGGACCAAGAAGUAUGUACAGAGAUAUUCAUGGUAGCAAGAUCCGUAAUAGCCAAGGAUUAGAAACAUCCUAAAUAUUUAUCAUUAGGAAUGCUAGGGGAAUGUUAAAAAAUAAAGCAAAUGGGGAGUUCCCA
This 1423-nucleotide long non-coding RNA is filed under the name Sus scrofa (pig). Its description in RNAcentral is "lncRNA (ENSSSCG00070014923.1)". The record is from RNAcentral. Lineage: Eukaryota; Metazoa; Chordata; Mammalia; Artiodactyla; Suidae.